UUUGCCGCCGUGCGGGCCACAUGCGCGCCCUGGAAGCGCGCGCCCUCCAGUUCGACCUCGGACGGCUGAC
RNAcentral lists this transfer RNA (70 nucleotides) under Minwuia thermotolerans. RNAcentral describes it as "tRNA-Pro". Lineage: Bacteria; Pseudomonadati; Pseudomonadota; Alphaproteobacteria; Minwuiales; Minwuiaceae. The record is from RNAcentral.